Molecule: small nuclear RNA, 295 nt
Organism: Heterocephalus glaber (naked mole-rat)
Lineage: Eukaryota; Metazoa; Chordata; Mammalia; Rodentia; Bathyergidae
Gene: U2
Rfam family: U2 spliceosomal RNA
About the family: U2 is a small nuclear RNA (snRNA) component of the spliceosome (involved in pre-mRNA splicing). Complementary binding between U2 snRNA (in an area lying towards the 5' end but 3' to hairpin I) and the branchpoint sequence (BPS) of the intron results the bulging out of an unpaired adenosine, on the BPS, which initiates a nucleophilic attack at the intronic 5' splice site, thus starting the first of two transesterification reactions that mediate splicing.
Source: Ensembl
AUUGCUUUUUAGCCUUUUGGCUAAGAUAUGUGUAAUAUCUAUACAUAUCAGUUUAAUAUCUGACACAUUGUCUUACUUCAAGGACAAUAGGGCUGGGGAUUUAGCUCAGUGGUUCCACCGCCUGCCUCGCAAGCGCAAGGACCCGAGUUUGAUCCCCGGUACCAAAAAAAAAUUGUUAGAUCAAGGACAAUAGAUUAAAUGGAUUUUUGGAGCAAGGAGAUGGAAUAGGAGCUUGCUCUGUCCACUUCACACAUUGACCUGGUAUUACAUUACCUCCAGGAAUGGUGCACCAUAC